CCUGGUGGCUAAUGGCGAAGGAUCAAACGCUCCAUCCCAUCCCGAACUGGAAAGCGAAAGUCUUCUGCGGCAAUGGUACUACAUUUUAAAAUGUGGGAGAGUAGCACACUGCCAGGC
This 117-nucleotide ribosomal RNA is filed under the name Holosporaceae bacterium. The record is from RNAcentral. Lineage: Bacteria; Pseudomonadati; Pseudomonadota; Alphaproteobacteria; Holosporales; Holosporaceae.